CCUACGGGGGGCUGCAGUGGGGAAUACUGGACAAUGGGGGCAACCCUGAUCCAGCCAUGCCGCGUGUGUGAAGAAGGCCCUCGGGUUGUAAAGCACUUUCAGUGAGGAAGAACGCCUGGUGGUUAAUACCCAUCAGGAAAGACAUCACUCACAGAAGAAGCACCGGCUAACUCCGUGCCAGCAGCCGCGGUAAUACGGAGGGUGCGAGCGUUAAUCGGAAUUACUGGGCGUAAAGCGCGCGUAGGUGGCUUGAUAAGCCGGUUGUGAAAGCCCCGGGCUCAACCUGGGAACGGCAUCCGGAACUGUCAAGCUAGAGUGCAGGAGAGGAAGGUAGAAUUCCCGGUGUAGCGGUGAAAUGCGUAGAGAUCGGGAGGAAUACCAGUGGCGAAGGCGGCCUUCUGGACUGACACUGACACUGAGGUGCGAAAGCGUGGGUAGCAAACAGGAUUAGAUACCCUAGUAGUC
This 465-nucleotide ribosomal RNA is filed under the name Vreelandella stevensii. RNAcentral's name for it is "partial 16S ribosomal RNA". It matches the Rfam family "Bacterial small subunit ribosomal RNA", at positions 338 to 795 of the family's 1533-position model. The record is from RNAcentral. Lineage: Bacteria; Pseudomonadati; Pseudomonadota; Gammaproteobacteria; Oceanospirillales; Halomonadaceae.